AUUUCAUCACAUAUUAACUUAGUAUUUCGCAGACUUGGAAUAUGAAUUUUGGUGCUAAUGCCCGAAUAUUGACCUUGCUGAUUAUUUCAUUACUGAUUCUGUUGCGAGCUGUCGAUAUGGUUGCAUGCCAAGGCGGAGGAGGAGGGGCAGGAGGAAUAGGAGAAGGCUUCGUGGAACAGCUGGAGAAUAAAAUCCUUGAAGAAUAAUGAGCUGUUUUGCCUGAAGAUCAGAAUAUGCAUGGAAAUAUAUUGUGUAUAACAUUAUUUGAAAUGUAUCUGAGAGGCAAUAAAUAAAAGUUGUAUUAAAUAAA
Styela clava is the source of this 310-nucleotide non-coding RNA. The record is from RefSeq and is a predicted model, not a curated record. NCBI's taxonomy places the organism in Eukaryota, Metazoa, Chordata, Ascidiacea, Stolidobranchia, Styelidae.